Long non-coding RNA from Astatotilapia calliptera (eastern happy), 1089 nucleotides. The record is from Ensembl. NCBI's taxonomy places the organism in Eukaryota, Metazoa, Chordata, Actinopteri, Cichliformes, Cichlidae.
UGCACCAGAAAGAGGAAACCAGCGGCUAAACAACAGCAGCACGUUUAAGCUUGAUCAGCUGUUGUUAGAAUUUAUUUAUUAUUACUUUCUACUCGAGGAUCUUUUUCUACGUAGCUGACGCUGGUAACUGUGCAGGGGCGGAUCUAGCAAAGUUUAGCCAGGGGGGCCGAUAGGGCAUUAACAGGGAAAAGGGGGCACAAAGACAUACUUUUCUUUCUUAUUCUCAUUUAAAAUGUCUAGCUUUUAAUAAAUAAUUAUCCGAAUCUUACACCGAAAGUUUUAAUUUGAUGUAAAAUGAAUAGAAGUCAAUUACUGUAUAUAGUGACUAUUAAGUCUAAUAUAUAUACCCUAGUAAGCUAUAGUACUUUUUCCUUUGGGAAGGUACCAUCUGUACAGUCUGCAAUUUUGUUGAAGAAAGAUGUUGAAUCUAUUUAAUAUUUCUUGAAAAAUAAUUGAUUUCUGUGCAUUUUUUUUCACACUGCAUCAAAUUAAGGUUGAUUACGUUGAUUAAGCAUCAUGAGGUGGAGCGUGAGGGGUGGUUCCCUAUUUUUUAUUUAUUUAUUUUUGUUGUUGAUGGGAGUUGGAACCCUAUUAGUUAGGUUGCUUAAUAUUUACGCUAAGUACUCUUUAAAAUACCAGAAUAGGGAGGAUGGUGUAGGUUUAAGUUUAUUAGAUUGAUCAGUAUUGCUGAACUAUGAAAUAUUUUUUUUUUGCAUAUAGGUAUAACAGAAUAGCUUUAGUGUAGUUGUUGUUUUAAACUUGAGUAUGAACUUGCAGACUUGCAAAAUGCAGCAAGAUAUUUUAAAAAACAGUUUUGUUGAUUAAAAAACACUAUAUCGGAUUCAUAUCGGUAUCGGCAGAUAUCCAAAUUUAUGAUAUCGGUAUCGGUAUCGGACAUAAAAAAGUGGUAUCGUGCCAUCUCUAGUAACUAGUAAAGUAAGAAAUUAUUGCAAAAAAAGAAAUUAGAUUAUGGUUGCUUUCCCGUAAGCACGCUGCGUUACUGCGUUACUAAACCGUGAUUUUGUUUGCGAGAGUGUCUCAUGACAAUGACGUUAGCGUGUGCAACAUUCGUGGUAACAAACGUGUGGA